GACGAACGCUGGCGGCGUGCCUAAUACAUGCAAGUCGAACGAGAGCGACCAGUGCUUGCACUGGUCAAUCUAGUGGCGAACGGGUGAGUAACACGUGGGUAACCUGCCCAUCAGAGGGGGAUAACAUCCGGAAACGGAUGCUAAAACCGCACAGGUCUUCGAACCGCAUGGUUCGAAGAGGAAAAGAGGCGCAAGCUUCUGUUGAUGGAUGGACCCGCGGUGCAUUAGCUAGUUGGUGAGGUAACGGCUCACCAAGGCCGUGAUGCAUAGCCGACCUGAGAGGGUGAUCGGCCACAUUGGGACUGAGACACGGCCCAAACUCCUACGGGAGGCAGCAGUAGGGAAUCUUCCGCAAUGGACGCAAGUCUGACGGAGCAACGCCGCGUGAGUGAAGAAGGUUUUCGGAUCGUAAAGCUCUGUUGUUAGGGAAGAACAAGUGCUAGAGUAACUGUUAGCGCCUUGACGGUAUCUAACGAGAAAGCCACGGCUAACUACGUG
RNAcentral lists this ribosomal RNA (498 nucleotides) under uncultured bacterium. Its description in RNAcentral is "partial 16S ribosomal RNA". It matches the Rfam family "Bacterial small subunit ribosomal RNA", at positions 28 to 507 of the family's 1533-position model. The record is from RNAcentral.